This 45-nucleotide non-coding RNA is filed under the name Schistosoma curassoni. Lineage: Eukaryota; Metazoa; Platyhelminthes; Trematoda; Strigeidida; Schistosomatidae. The record is from RNAcentral.
AUCCAACUGAGGAUUCCCAAAUAGAAAGAAACGCACGUCUUGGAU